This 494-nucleotide ribosomal RNA is filed under the name uncultured bacterium. Its description in RNAcentral is "partial 16S ribosomal RNA". It matches the Rfam family "Bacterial small subunit ribosomal RNA", at positions 28 to 507 of the family's 1533-position model. The record is from RNAcentral.
GACGAACGCUGGCGGCGUGCUUAACACAUGCAAGUCGAACGGAAAGGCCUGCUUUCCCUUGUGGAUUGCGGGUACUCGAGUGGCGAACGGGUGAGUAACACGUGAGUGAUCUGCCCCCAACUUGGGUAUAAGCCUGGGAAACUGGGUCUAAUUCCCGAUAGGACUGCAGGGUGGUGCCUGUGGUGGAAAACGAUUUUCUAGUGGUUGGGGAUGAGCUCGCGGCCUAUCAGCUUGUUGGUGGGGUAAUGGCCUACCAAGGCGGCGACGGGUAGCCGGCCCGAGAGGGGGGACGGCCACAUUGGGACUGGGAUACGGCCCAGACGCCUACGGGAGGCAGCAGUGGGGAAUAUUGGACAAUGGGCGGAAGCCUGAUGCAGCGACGCCGCGUGGGGGAUGACGGGCUUCGGGUUGUAAACUCCUUUCGACCGCGAGGAAGCCACCUGGUUGGAAGGGUGGUGACGGUAGUGGUAGAAGAAGCACCGGCUAACUACGUG